Molecule: small RNA, 531 nt
Filed under: Pongo abelii (Sumatran orangutan)
Lineage: Eukaryota; Metazoa; Chordata; Mammalia; Primates; Hominidae
Description: processed transcript
Source: RNAcentral
UUAAUGGAUGUUGCUUCGCACUCCCAAUAGCAUUGGUCUUGUGUUUACCCAAUUAUCUUCUGCAAGUCAGGAUUUCUCUGGUGCCCGAAAAAGUGGUGAUUAAACUUAGGCUGUUAAGAACUGGUAUAAUGACAACAUCAACGCAUACUGCUGUUCCACGGCCUCGAAGCGUAGAGGGGGUGAAGCUGACAGACCCUAUCCAGAGAACCCGCCACCGGGACCCGGCGUCUGAAGGUCCCGAGCCCCGCCGACAGCCCAGACCCAGUCCGGGCUAGCCCGAGGCCUCCCUGGAGGUGGACGGUUUCAAUCCACAGAUACUGGGACCCCAGGGAGACACUCACCAGCCUCCGAACCUGCCAUGUCUCGAAGGCAGGUCGCCGCCGGACUCCGACGCGGCCGGGCAGGCGACGGUGUCCUGGAAGGGCCGAUCCACGCAGACCCGACGCUGGGGCGCGGGCGCACGAACCAAAGCGCAGGGAAGGAGGAGUGAAAGAGGGAGGGACGUUAAAAGAGCUUCUCGCCGCUGAUUGG